ACCCUUCUCUACGGAAUAGCCUCGGGAAACUGAGAGUAAUACCGUAUACGCCCUUCGGGGGAAAGAUUUAUCGGAGAAGGAUCAGCCCGCGUAAGAUUAGAUAGUUGGUGGGGUAAUGGCCUACCAAGUCUACGAUCUUUAGCUGGUUUUAGAGGAUGAUCAGCAACACUGGGACUGAGACACGGCCCAGACUCCUACGGGAGGCAGCAGUGGGGAAUCUUGGACAAUGGGCGCAAGCCUGAUCCAGCCAUGCCGCGUGUGUGAUGAAGGCCUUAGGGUCGUAAAGCACUUUCGCUAGAGAUGAUAAUGACAGUAUCUAGUAAAGAAGUCCCGGCUAACUCCGUGCCAGCAGCCGCGGUAAUACGGAGGGGACUAGCGUUGUUCGGAAUUACUGGGCGUAAAGCGUACGUAGGCGGAUCAGAAAGUAUGGGGUGAAAUCCCAGGGCUCAACCCCGGAACUGCCUCAUAAACUCCUGGUCUAGAGUUCGAGAGAGGUGAGUGGAAUUCCGAGUGUAGAGGUGAAAUUCGUAGAUAUUCGGAGGAACACCAGUGGCGAAGGCGGCUCACUGGCUCGAUACUGACGCUGAGGUACGAAAGUGUGGGGAGCAAACAGGAUUAGAUACCCUGGUAGUCCACACCGUAAACGAUGAAUGCCAGUCGUCGGGUAGCAUGC
This 673-nucleotide ribosomal RNA is filed under the name uncultured Alphaproteobacteria bacterium. RNAcentral describes it as "bacterial SSU rRNA". It matches the Rfam family "Bacterial small subunit ribosomal RNA", at positions 128 to 835 of the family's 1533-position model. Lineage: Bacteria; Pseudomonadati; Pseudomonadota; Alphaproteobacteria. The record is from RNAcentral.